GGGGGUGAGGAAUACAUCGGAAUCUACUCUGUCGUGGGGGAUAACGUAGGGAAACUUACGCUAAUACCGCAUACGACCUACGGGUGAAAAGCAGGGGAUCUUCGGACCUUGCGCGAUUGAAUGAGCCGAUGUCGGAUUAGCUAGUUGGCGGGGUAAAGGCCCACCAAGGCGACGAUCCGUAGCUGGUCUGAGAGGAUGAUCAGCCACACUGGAACUGAGACACGGUCCAGACUCCUACGGGAGGCAGCAGCU
RNAcentral lists this ribosomal RNA (252 nucleotides) under uncultured Stenotrophomonas sp. RNAcentral's name for it is "partial 16S ribosomal RNA". It matches the Rfam family "Bacterial small subunit ribosomal RNA", at positions 100 to 355 of the family's 1533-position model. Lineage: Bacteria; Pseudomonadati; Pseudomonadota; Gammaproteobacteria; Lysobacterales; Lysobacteraceae. The record is from RNAcentral.